RNAcentral lists this ribosomal RNA (425 nucleotides) under uncultured bacterium. Its description in RNAcentral is "partial 16S ribosomal RNA". It matches the Rfam family "Bacterial small subunit ribosomal RNA", at positions 354 to 796 of the family's 1533-position model. The record is from RNAcentral.
GUGGGGAAUCUUAGACAAUGGGCGCAAGCCUGAUCUAGCCAUGCCGCGUGAGCGAUGAAGGCCUUAGGGUUGUAAAGCUCUUUCGUGGGGGAAGAUAAUGACUGUACCCCAAGAAGAAGCCCCGACUAACUCCGUGCCAGCAGCCGCGGUAAUACGGAGGGGGCUAGCGUUGUUCGGAAUUACUGGGCGUAAAGCGCACGUAGGCGGACUGGAAAGUCAGGGGUGAAAUCCCGGGGCUCAACCCCGGAACUGCCUUUGAAACUCCCAGUCUUGAGUUAGAGAGAGGUGAGUGGAAUUCCGAGUGUAGAGGUGAAAUUCGUAGAUAUUCGGAGGAACACCAGUGGCGAAGGCGGCUCACUGGCUCGAUACUGACGCUAAGGUGCGAAAGCGUGGGGAGCAAACAGGAUUAGAUACCCCUGUAGUCC